CGCAAUUAUCAGGGGCGCGCUCUACCACUGAGCUAAUAGCCCUGGGCCAUCCUGGACUUGAACCAGAGACCUCGCCC
This 77-nucleotide transfer RNA is filed under the name Phoenix dactylifera (date palm). Its description in RNAcentral is "tRNA-Ile". Lineage: Eukaryota; Viridiplantae; Streptophyta; Magnoliopsida; Arecales; Arecaceae. The record is from RNAcentral.